Molecule: transfer RNA, 70 nt
Filed under: Camelus bactrianus (Bactrian camel)
Lineage: Eukaryota; Metazoa; Chordata; Mammalia; Artiodactyla; Camelidae
Also listed under: 2 other names
Rfam family: tRNA
About the family: Transfer RNA (tRNA) molecules are approximately 80 nucleotides in length. Their secondary structure includes four short double-helical elements and three loops (D, anti-codon, and T loops).
Source: Rfam by way of RNAcentral
GAGGGUAUAGCACAGUGAUAGUGUGUGCUUAACAUGCACAAGGUCUUGGAUUCAAUCCCCAGUACCUCCA